Long non-coding RNA from Syngnathus typhle (broad-nosed pipefish), 1521 nucleotides. RefSeq lists it as uncharacterized. Lineage: Eukaryota; Metazoa; Chordata; Actinopteri; Syngnathiformes; Syngnathidae. The record is from RefSeq and is a predicted model, not a curated record. The transcript has 2 exons.
AGAAAGUAGGGACCAACAGAGGACACAAAGGAAGUUAUUUUGGUGUUCGCACAGUUACGUAAGUUGAUUGAAUUGACGUUUAACCCGCCGGCUGCUCAACAACAACCGGAGAUUAGACAGAGCAGCACUUGAUCAACCAACAAGAAAAUUUCACACACAGCAACUGCAAAAACAAAACAUACAAAUGAGCUUUUGAGAUGAUGCAGGUUGUUGCCAAUAUAAUUAUUUCUCCAAAUUCAAGUAGUUCAAAUGUGCCAUCAGCUUGUUCAUAUGAAUGAGUCAAACAAGAAAGGAAGAAAAUAAUUACAAGGGCGUGAUUAUGUGUUUCUGGACUUCUUGCAUGUUUGUCACUCUUGGUAAAUAUCUCCCAUCAUCUAACGAGUGUAAAUAUCAGUCAAGUAAAGACAAAAUGCAGUUUUUAUAUGAAGGUUUUCUCCUAUUAAUGGGAGACACUGGAGGGUUUACGAGCAUAAACAGCCUUUUAAAGGUCAUGCCGCAAACUUUUGUUUGGACCUCGUCAAAGCCACUCCAAAAUCUUCCUUUUGUUUUUUUCCAGUUCACGACAGGUCCUGGGGCAACGAAGCUGCCUCAUAUCAUCACAAUACUACCUCCGCGUUUGACUCUAGACAUGUUCUCCUGAAACGCUGCGCUACAUUUUACACCAUAUGUGACGAGACAUAUCUUGAAAGGAAUUCAACUUUUGUUUGUUUCAUCAAUCACAUCUUUUGCAAAAGUUAAGAUGUUUUUUUUGUCAGUAGUGUCUGCAAUGAUGUCAUUUUUGCCCAGUAUCUUGCAUAUUAUGAAAUCAUAAAUUCUUACCUUAAUUGAAACGAGUGCCAUCAAUUCUUUUGAUAUCGUGCAGGGUUACUUUGUGACCUCCUGGAUGAGUCAUUAUGAUGCUUUUGGGGUCAUCUAUAGGCUGGCCACUCCUGGGAAGGCGAGUAACCAUCAAGUAACCUACUUCUUCACACAGGGUCAGGAAGCAUUGAAUAUUCUUUUUCUUAAAGGUGUGUCACUGACAAUGACUCACGAGCUACUGGUGAGCACAAUGGGUUUAUUUGUGAUUUUGGUGUUUUGUUGCAUGUGGGUGAAGUUAAAGCAAAGAUAAAAUGAAGAAUGAUUUAAUUUGGGGGAAAUAAUGAAAUAAUUAGUAAUAGCUAUUUUGUGCAUGAUUUCAUGAUCUAAGACUCAUCAAUUGUUUGUAAUUUCAUACUUUGAAGGUUUUUCACCUGACGAAAUAAAUUGCCCUUCUUUGCAAGUGGAGAAAGCUGUGCGGUCAAAAUACACUUGACAAGCAAAACGACAAUACAUUUGUACGGACAAUUUGCGCCCCCUUGUGGAGCCACUCCGAAGUGCUCAUCAAGCACACAGUUGGGGAUGGACCAGAUUCGGGACAUUCAUGGAACGAUUUUGAAUCAAGGAAGGUUUGAAUCUCUUGAGAAUUGUGCAGAGAUGACUACGUAUAUGUAAACAAGGGAAUUCUGGGAAUGGUGAACCAGAAGUCAGAAGACCUGAAUGAGU